RNAcentral lists this ribosomal RNA (305 nucleotides) under uncultured bacterium. RNAcentral's name for it is "partial 16S ribosomal RNA". It matches the Rfam family "Bacterial small subunit ribosomal RNA", at positions 505 to 808 of the family's 1533-position model. The record is from RNAcentral.
ACAGCAGCAGCCGCGGUAAUACGUAGGUCCCGAGCGUUGUCCGGAUUUAUUGGGCGUAAAGCGAGCGCAGGCGGUUAGAUAAGUCUGAAGUUAAAGGCUGUGGCUUAACCAUAGUACGCUUUGGAAACUGUUUAACUUGAGUGCAAGAGGGGAGAGUGGAAUUCCAUGUGUAGCGGUGAAAUGCGUAGAUAUAUGGAGGAACACCGGUGGCGAAAGCGGCUCUCUGGCUUGUAACUGACGCUGAGGCUCGAAAGCGUGGGGAGCAAACAGGAUUAGAUACCCCAGUAGUCCCUGUCUCUUAUACA